RNAcentral lists this ribosomal RNA (39 nucleotides) under Amblyomma ovale. Its description in RNAcentral is "partial 5.8S ribosomal RNA". RNAcentral also lists the same sequence under 12 other names. The record is from RNAcentral. Lineage: Eukaryota; Metazoa; Arthropoda; Arachnida; Ixodida; Ixodidae.
UUGGGUCUUCCCUUGGGUUCGUCUGUCUGAGGGUCGGAU